This 253-nucleotide ribosomal RNA is filed under the name uncultured bacterium. RNAcentral describes it as "partial 16S ribosomal RNA". It matches the Rfam family "Bacterial small subunit ribosomal RNA", at positions 524 to 776 of the family's 1533-position model. The record is from RNAcentral.
UACGUAGGGUGCAAGCGUUAAUCGGAAUUACUGGGCGUAAAGCGUGCGCAGGCGGUCUUGCAAGACAGAUGUGAAAUCCCCGGGCUCAACCUGGGAACUGCAUUUGUGACUGCAAGGCUGGAGUGCGGCAGAGGGGGAUGGAAUUCCGCGUGUAGCAGUGAAAUGCGUAGAUAUGCGGAGGAACACCGAUGGCGAAGGCGAUCCCCUGGGCCUGCACUGACGCUCAUGCACGAAAGCGUGGGGAGCAAACAGG